CCGAAAAAACGAAGUUGUUCAAUUUAAGCCGGCAAUGAUACUACUGUGCGGUUCGUACAUGUGUUGCCAACAUAAACUUGCACUUAAGAAAAGCUUUAUACUAUUUCGGGCCGAACCGGUUACGCUACUGCCUCAAACUGAAGCGCAAAAGGAAAAUGCCCAGACGGGACAGGCCGGACAGCGCAUCAGAAACUCGAGGAUAUGUCAUACAUCUUUGCGGGAUAAACCUUGAAAUGGUAGCCAUUAAGGACCCUAGCAAGCUACCGAGCACUCACUGUGCCUUACAGAGGAGAACAAAAGCGGGGCAUUGUGACCAUCAUGUGCGGACCAUGUGACGAAAUGAGAUGCUCAUUGAAGUUUCGUCCUGCAGCGAUAUGCAAACUUAAGUGAAUUGAUGGCCGUGUACUUAUUCUUCUCACUUUGCAACACUGUCCAGUGCCUCACACGAAUAAUGGGAAUACAUGAGACCCUCAGGAAUGAUUUUGCUAACCCACCGUCUUCCGAAAGAAGAAAAGCGCAGAUACGACGGGGAUGAGAGGCAGAUAGGGACGAGGUGAACCCAAGUUGAUUCACUUAGUGUCUUUUUUAGCCGACUCCAGAUAGCCAGUCUUGUUCGUGACCAGGAAUAGCUGCCACUGUUGUUUCCAACUACGCUGGUUAACGUCGAGGCUGUUUGGGACUCGAAAUAGGCAGAUUGUCCCUCAUCCACCGGUCGCACUCUUAGUUCGUUUGUCACCCCACGCUUCGAUUUCGGGUGGACAAACAGAAACUAAAAGGUGCGAAAGUGGGAAAACGGCUGGCUGCCCUACGCGGCUGGUGCUACCGCUAAACGAAUCCUAUGACUGCUUUUGGAAUCCCCCUUCUCGUCAGCCCACAUCGUCGAAAAGUUCGAAUUUGAUCAGAAGGAGCACGGUAACCGGGAAGGGUAUCGAUGACAUGAUAAACCCUCUAAGGUGGCUAUGUCCGCGUUCCGGACUAUUUCGAAGCUAAUAUCCACAGUCGUCCUUACUGAUCCCCAUCCCCACGACGUCUCGUUACGAGCUCGCUAUUGGGGAAAGUACUCCUUUCUGCUGGCCCGAUCAGAAGAGCGCGUGUCUGGACAAUCGGAUUGUCCUAAGUUGGGCGACAGCAAACGCCACGUAAGCGACUCAAGUGUCGUUACCUCAUCCUACGUCGACUAAGGCUAAACAGCUAUCGGUGAGGGGUUGUCUAGAAGAGGACUGUUUCAGUAGCAAAGCUGUGCAAACGUACCGACGACGCCUCAAAUAUCUCCACCAUUUUAGCGAAACGAUGUAAGGAGGGCCCGAACGUCAAGGGGCUUUAAGGCUAUGUCACUGUAUCUACCUUUCUCCAAUCACACUUUGCUACUCUGAAACCUGCGAAAAGAUACCAACAGUCAAGAAACCCUUAUGCAGAGGAACGGAAUUUCGUCGAAAGUUUAUCUAUACAGUUUAUACUAACAAACGUACUUGACGCACCUCAACAAUGUGACCUGUGGACUAUAACUUCUAUGAACUUCUUUAGAAGUCUUGCUUAGUGUUGCUCUAACAUAGUGAUUUGCCCUUCACUAUU
This is a long non-coding RNA of Varroa destructor (honeybee mite), 1572 nucleotides long. RefSeq lists it as uncharacterized. The record is from RefSeq and is a predicted model, not a curated record. Lineage: Eukaryota; Metazoa; Arthropoda; Arachnida; Mesostigmata; Varroidae.